Molecule: ribosomal RNA, 460 nt
Filed under: uncultured bacterium
Lineage: Bacteria
Description: partial 16S ribosomal RNA
Rfam family: Bacterial small subunit ribosomal RNA
Source: RNAcentral
CCUACGGGAGGCAGUAGUGAGGAAUAUUGGUCAAUGGACGAGAGUCUGAACCAGCCAAGUAGCGUGAAGGAUGACUGCCCUAUGGGUUGUAAACUUCUUUUAUAUGGGAAUAAAAUGUUCCACGUGUGGGAUUUUGUAUGUACCAUAUGAAUAAGGAUCGGCUAACUCCGUGCCAGCAGCCGCGGUAAUACGGAGGAUCCGAGCGUUAUCCGGAUUUAUUGGGUUUAAAGGGAGCGUAGGUGGAUUGUUAAGUCAGUUGUGAAAGUUUGCGGCUCAACCGUAAAAUUGCAGUUGAAACUGGCAGUCGUGAGUACAGUAGAGGUGGGCGGAAUUCGUGGUGUAGCGGUGAAAUGCUUAGAUAUCACGAAGAACUCCGAUUGCGAAGGCAGCUCACUGGACUGCAACUGACACUGAGGCUCGAAAGUGUGGGUAUCAAACAGGAUUAGAUACCCUAGUAGUC